CAACUACUCCCUCUGUCCCAAAUUUCUUGUCUUAGUUUGUCUAGAUACGGAUGUAUCUAAUACUAAAAUGUGACUUGAUACAUCCGUAUCUAAACAAAUCUAAGACAAGAAUUUUGGGACGGAAGGAGAACUUU
Non-coding RNA from Triticum aestivum (bread wheat), 134 nucleotides. Lineage: Eukaryota; Viridiplantae; Streptophyta; Magnoliopsida; Poales; Poaceae. The record is from Rfam.